Molecule: ribosomal RNA, 504 nt
Filed under: uncultured bacterium
Lineage: Bacteria
Description: partial 16S ribosomal RNA
Rfam family: Bacterial small subunit ribosomal RNA
Source: RNAcentral
AUUGAACGCUGGCGGCAGGCCUAACACAUGCAAGUCGGACGGUAGCACAGAGAGCUUGCUCUCGGGUGACGAGUGGCGGACGGGUGAGUAAUGUCUGGGGAUCUGCCCGAUAGAGGGGGAUAACCACUGGAAACGGUGGCUAAUACCGCAUAACGUCGCAAGACCAAAGAGGGGGACCUUCGGGCCUCUCACUAUCGGAUGAACCCAGAUGGGAUGGGCUAGUAGGCGGGGUAAUGGCCCACCUAGGCGGCGAUCCCUAGCUGGUCUGAGAGGAUGACCGCCCACACGGGAACCGGGGCACGGUCAAGACUCCUACGGGAGGCAGCAGUGGGGAAUAUUGCACAAUGGGCGCAAGCCUGAUGCAGCCAUGCGGCGUGUAUGAAGAAGGCCUUCGGGUUGUAAAGUACUUUCAGCGGGGAGGAAGGCGAUGCGGUUAAUAACCGUGUCGAUUGACGUUACCCGCAGAAGAAGCACCGGCUAACUCCGUGCCAGCAGCCGCCGUAA